UCCGGAUUGGUGUAGGGUUAACAUUGCCGCCUCUCAUGUGUUGAAAGUAACGUUGAUUUACCGCGGCAGCCCGGGGUUCGAUUCCCCGAUCCGGAA
Non-coding RNA from Mycena olivaceomarginata, 96 nucleotides. NCBI's taxonomy places the organism in Eukaryota, Fungi, Basidiomycota, Agaricomycetes, Agaricales, Mycenaceae. The record is from the annotation of a GenBank genome assembly.